Molecule: long non-coding RNA, 460 nt
Organism: Sinocyclocheilus grahami
Lineage: Eukaryota; Metazoa; Chordata; Actinopteri; Cypriniformes; Cyprinidae
Exons: 4
Source: RefSeq, a predicted model, not a curated record
AAGUUAUUGCACUCAGGCACUUUCUCAGUCGCCUAUACUGGGUCCUUCGUUCCUCCCGUAGUGUCCACGUGGAGAUCAUCAUGCGCUCUUAAAGUGGUAUAGACGGGUUCAUUGUACGGCAUAUGGCGCAGCAGGAAGUGGCUGGUGUGCUAAGUCACAUGUCGACACCAUGAGGACAAGGAGCAACCUUGUGCUUUUGAACUCCAGGUGAGCAGCCCUGCGGUAAAAAUUCAGUAAAGGGCUGCAACCGCAACAUGGACGGGGUCACAUGACACCUGGGUCUAUGUUCACAGAAGAGUGAUCCUUUCCAGUGGUGGUAAAUUACCCAGCAUUCACGGACUAGUGGUGUGCGAGGUGAGUUUUACUAACACUGACUCUCAGUGACAAACUCGAUUUGUUUUGACUUGAUUCAUAUUUUGCUGCUUUGUAAUGAUUUGUAUGGUACAUAAAUUUGAGUUCA